GAUGAAGAACGUAGCGAAAUGCGAUAAGUAGUGUGAAUUGCAGAAUUCAGUGAAUCAUCGAAUCUUUGAACGCACAUUGCGCCCCUUGGUAUCCCGAGGGGCAUGCCUGUUCGAGCGUCAUUUCACCACUCAAGCCUGGCUUGGUGUUGGGCGACGUCCCCUUUAGGGACGCGCCUCGAAACGCUCGGCGGCGCGGCACCGGCUUUAAGCGUAGCAGAAUCUUUCGCUUUGGAAGUCGGGGCCCCGCCUGCCGGAAUACCAACUUGUAAGGUUGACCUCGGAUCAGGCAGGGAUACCCGCUGAACUUAAGCAUAUCAAUAAGCGGAGGA
This 329-nucleotide unclassified non-coding RNA is filed under the name soil metagenome. Its description in RNAcentral is "partial contains 5.8S ribosomal RNA, internal transcribed spacer 2, and large subunit ribosomal RNA". The stretch from base 1 to 120 matches the Rfam family "5.8S ribosomal RNA", at positions 35 to 154 of the family's 154-position model. The record is from RNAcentral.